This 253-nucleotide ribosomal RNA is filed under the name uncultured bacterium. RNAcentral describes it as "partial 16S ribosomal RNA". It matches the Rfam family "Bacterial small subunit ribosomal RNA", at positions 524 to 776 of the family's 1533-position model. The record is from RNAcentral.
UACGUAGGGUGCAAGCGUUGUCCGGAAUUAUUGGGCGUAAAGCGCGCGUAGGCGGGUUCGUAAGUCGAUUGUGAAAACCCUGGGCUCAACCCGGGACGUGCAGUCGAUACUGCGAAUCUUGAGUGCCUGAGAGGAUGGCGGAAUUCCCGGUGUAGUAGUGAAAUACGUAGAUAUCGGGAAGAACACCUGAGGCGAAGGCGGCUAUCUGGCGGUGCACUGACGCUGAUGCGCGAAAGCGUGGGGAGCAAACAGG